GGUAACUGCACACGGGUGGGAUUGAACCGGUUCCUCUGGAUACCCUUCCCCUCAAGGCUUCCAAUCCCGGAGAAGGAGCACCAAUGACCUUUGACCCUUCUCUGGGAGAAAGGGAGGCAGGACCCACAGGGUAAGGGCUUCAGUGCUGCUCCCUCCACUGGGCCCUGCCCACAGGGCACCCCGGGCCCACCUUGUCUAGGAGCUUGUCCAUCUCCUCCUUUCUGGCCAGCUCCGACUCCUCCAGAACCCGACGCUGUGCAGUCUCCUUUUUCAGGAACUCGAUCUCCCUGGGCGCAGGCAAGGGACAGAUGGCAGAGCCCCAUGCCAGUGUGUGACGACACAGUCACUGGUUUGCAGAUGCAUAAGAACAACGAUCAACUCUGGCUUUGCCCAUCAUGGUGAUGAGAACAGUACUGGACAUCUAGAAGGGUCUCAUUCUGUUACCCAGGCUGGAGUGGAGUGCAGUGGCACAAUCACGGCUCACUGCGGCCUCGACCUACCCUGGCCCAAGUGAUCGUCCCACCUCAGCCACCCAAGUAGCUGGGAUCACCGAUGUGCGCUACCACACCUGGCUAAUUUUUGUAUUGUUUGUAGAGAUAGGUUUUUGCCAUGUUGCCCAGGCUGGUCUCUAACUCCUGGCUCAAGCAGUCUGCCUUGGCCUCCCAAAGUGCUGAGAUUACAGGCAUGAGCCACUGCGCUCAGCCUACUUUGACUUUUUAUUGAGCACCUAUUAUGUCAGACAUUGUGCUAAAGACUUGACGUGUAUUAUCUCAUUUAAUCCUACAACGACCGUGUG
Molecule: long non-coding RNA, 796 nt
Organism: Pongo pygmaeus (Bornean orangutan)
Lineage: Eukaryota; Metazoa; Chordata; Mammalia; Primates; Hominidae
Exons: 4
Source: RefSeq, a predicted model, not a curated record